GGUAAGAUGGCUCAGUGGAAGAGCCCUUGCCUUGCAUGCAUGAGGCCCUGGGUUCAAUUCCCCAGCACCA
Molecule: transfer RNA, 70 nt
Filed under: Dipodomys ordii (Ord's kangaroo rat)
Lineage: Eukaryota; Metazoa; Chordata; Mammalia; Rodentia; Heteromyidae
Rfam family: tRNA
About the family: Transfer RNA (tRNA) molecules are approximately 80 nucleotides in length.
Source: Rfam by way of RNAcentral